This 427-nucleotide ribosomal RNA is filed under the name uncultured Chlamydiales bacterium. Its description in RNAcentral is "partial 16S ribosomal RNA". It matches the Rfam family "Bacterial small subunit ribosomal RNA", at positions 355 to 774 of the family's 1533-position model. Lineage: Bacteria; Pseudomonadati; Chlamydiota; Chlamydiia; Chlamydiales. The record is from RNAcentral.
UCGAGAAUCUUUCGCAAUGGGCGCAAGCCUGACGAAGCGACGCCGUGUGAGCGAAGAAGGCCUUCGGGUUGUAAAGCUCUUUCGCUAGGGAACAAGAAAGGGGCGAUAAUAACGCUCUGAUUUGAUGGUACUUGGUAAAGAAGCACCGGCUAACUCCGUGCCAGCAGCUGCGGUAAUACGGAGGGUGCAAGCAUUGAUCGGAAUUACUGGGCGUAAAGGGUGCGUAGGCGGAUUGGUAAGUCAGAUGUGAAAUUCCGCGGCUCAACUGCGGAGCUGCAUUUGAAACUGCCAAUCUGGAGCAUAGUUAGGGAAAACGGAAUUCCACGUGUAGCGGUGAAAUGCGUAGAUAUGUGGAAGAACACCAGUGGUGAAGACGGUUUUCUGGGCUAUAGCUGACGCUGAGGCACGAAAGCUAGGGGAGCAAACA